Molecule: small RNA, 76 nt
Filed under: Escherichia coli
Lineage: Bacteria; Pseudomonadati; Pseudomonadota; Gammaproteobacteria; Enterobacterales; Enterobacteriaceae
Description: partial RtT sRNA
Rfam family: RtT RNA
About the family: This family represents a bacterial cis-regulatory element known as RtT RNA. The exact function of RtT is unknown although it is thought that it may be involved in changing the cellular response in relation to amino acid starvation.
Source: RNAcentral
ACCAGGGAUGAUAACGUUGCUUUAGCAACGGCCCGAAGGGCGAGCCGCAAGGCGAGUAAUCCUCCCGGAUGCACCA